UGCCUUAGUAGCUUAGACACAAAGCGCCGGUCUUGUAAUCCGGAGAUCGAAGGUUAAAAUCCUUCCUAAUG
RNAcentral lists this transfer RNA (71 nucleotides) under Duopalatinus peruanus. Its description in RNAcentral is "tRNA-Thr". It matches the Rfam family "tRNA". From Rfam's summary of the family: Transfer RNA (tRNA) molecules are approximately 80 nucleotides in length. Their secondary structure includes four short double-helical elements and three loops (D, anti-codon, and T loops). Lineage: Eukaryota; Metazoa; Chordata; Actinopteri; Siluriformes; Pimelodidae. The record is from RNAcentral.